RNAcentral lists this ribosomal RNA (756 nucleotides) under Triticum aestivum (bread wheat). Its description in RNAcentral is "partial small subunit ribosomal RNA". The record is from RNAcentral. Lineage: Eukaryota; Viridiplantae; Streptophyta; Magnoliopsida; Poales; Poaceae.
AUGUAUCUGAGUGCAUCAACCAAAUUUGAGAAGUAUUGUGACAGUUGGGUGAUGAAGGCUGAUCCUAGGACAUCUAUCUUGAGUGGAUCUGGAUGGUUGCAGGAGACUAUCAGUACACCGGGAGAGACCUUCACCAUGCUUAGAAUGAAGGCAACCGUAUUCUUUGAACUUCAUGACUUGUUGAAGGAUAAGUAUGGGCUGAGCCAUUCCCCUUUUGUUAGUAGUUAUGAGUCUCUUGCUAUGUUCUUGUGGACCUUGGGGGGUUGUGAAUCAAAUAGAAGAACCCAAAACCGUUUCAAGCAUUCCGCCGAUACAAUCCAUCGUAAAUUCCAUGAAGUACUACUUUGUGUGGUGAAGAUGUCAGCUGACUACAUCAAGCCUAAGGACCCAAAUUUUAGGACCGUGCAUCCAAGGAUUCGGAAUGACAAAAGGGCUUAUCCACACUUGAAAGACCGCAUUGGUGCAAUAGAUGGGACUCACAUUAGGGCUUCUAUUCCCGAGGCCGCACAAGUGAGGUACAUCAGAAGAACAGGAGCAAUAACUCAAAAUGUGAUGGCAAUAUGUGACUUCGAUAUGCAUUUCACGUAUGCAUCUAUUGGUCAACCUAGUUCUAUGCAUGACACAACUGUGCUAUAUACCGCAAUGCAUAUGGAUAAGGCCACCUUUCCCCAUCCUCCAAAGGGUAAGCAUUUUUGCUUGUUGCAACUUAUGUCUUAUGUCCAACAACUUACAUGCACCAUUCUCUCUAUUUUGUAG